AUACGGAGGAUCCGAGCGUUAUCCGGAUUUAUUGGGUUUAAAGGGUGCGCAGGCGGCCAUUUAAGUCAGCGGUUAAAUCGUGGGGCUCAACCCCAUUCUGCCGUUGAUACUGGGUGGCUUGAUUGCGGUCGAGGCUGGCGGAAUUCGUUGUGUAGCGGUGGAAUGCAUAGAUAUGACGAAGAACACCGAUUGCGUAGGCAGCUGACCAGACCGCAAAUGACGCUCAUGCACGAAAGUGCGGGGAUCGAACAGGAUUAGAUACCCUGGUAGUCCGCACAGUAAACGAUGAAUACUUGUUUUCGGCGAUAUAAUGUCGGAGGCAAAGCGAAAGCGAUAAGUAUUCCACCUGGGGAGUACGCCGGCAACGGUGAAACUCAAAGGAAUUGGCGGGG
RNAcentral lists this ribosomal RNA (392 nucleotides) under uncultured bacterium. RNAcentral describes it as "partial 16S ribosomal RNA". It matches the Rfam family "Bacterial small subunit ribosomal RNA", at positions 523 to 918 of the family's 1533-position model. The record is from RNAcentral.